ACGGAAGGCAGCAGUGGGGAAUAUUGCACAAUGGGCGAAAGCCUGAUGUAGCGACGCCGCGUGAGUGAAGAAGUAUUUCGGUAUGUAAAGCUCUAUCAGCAGGAAAGAAAAUGACGGUACCUGACUAAGAAGCCCCGGCUAACUACGUGCCAGCGGCCGCGGUAAUACGUAGGGGGCAAGCGUUAUCCGGAUUUACUGGGUGUAAAGGGAGCGUAGACGGUUGUGCAAGUCUGAAGUGGAAUGCCGGGGCUCAACCCCGGAACUGCUUUGGAAACUGUAAAACUGGAGUGCAGGAGAGGUAAGUGGAAUUCCUAGUGUAGCGGUGAAAUGCGUAGAUAUUAGGAGGAACACCGGUGGCGAAGGCGGCUUACUGGACGGUAACUGACGUUGAGGCUCGAAAGCGUGGGGAGCAAACAGGAUUAGAUACCCUGGUA
Molecule: ribosomal RNA, 434 nt
Filed under: uncultured Clostridium sp.
Lineage: Bacteria; Bacillati; Bacillota; Clostridia; Eubacteriales; Clostridiaceae
Description: partial 16S ribosomal RNA
Rfam family: Bacterial small subunit ribosomal RNA
Source: RNAcentral